Non-coding RNA from Paramuricea clavata, 368 nucleotides. The record is from the annotation of a GenBank genome assembly. NCBI's taxonomy places the organism in Eukaryota, Metazoa, Cnidaria, Anthozoa, Malacalcyonacea, Plexauridae.
GUGAUUGGUAAAGCUCCACGAUUUACCAGAGCUGCUGAGCAUGCAGAUAAAGUUCGGAAUCUCGUUAGAAACGAGUGGGCGCAUUGUGGUGACUUAACAAAUUGGACUGAAGAAAAAUUUGAAGCCGCUUUUGCAAGAAUGGAAGCUUUACUUAAGAUUCUUAAUCUCUCGUGUGAUGAGCUGAAUGACUGUAAGGCCAAAGGUAAUGAAAUUGCAAUUCAUUUAUUGCAAGGAACAUACAAUUGUAAUUAUUUGUCUUCCGUACAGAAUUCAAAUAUAAUCCCCCAAUAUUUUUUUCUUGAAAUGUAUUUGAAGGACCCAAAGUUGUGUGUAGAUUGUCAUUGACAGCAGGAAAAGGGUUGGUAGCC